AGAGUUUGAUCAUGGCUCAGAACGAACGCUGGCGGCAGGCCUAACACAUGCAAGUCGAGCGCCCCGCAAGGGGAGCGGCAGACGGGUGAGUAACGCGUGGGAAACUACCCAGUGGUGCGGAACAACCAAGGGAAACUUUGGCUAAUACCGCAUGUGCCCUUCGGGGGAAAGAUUUAUCGCCAUUGGAUGUGCCCGCGUCGGAUUAGCUAGUUGGUGAGGUAACGGCUCACCAAGGCGACGAUCCGUAGCUGGUCUGAGAGGAUGAUCAGCCACACUGGGACUGAGACACGGCCCAGACUCCUACGGGAGGCAGCAGCCAGGAAUCUUGGGCAAUGGGCGAAAGCCUGACCCAGCAACACCGUGUGGGUGACGAAGGCCUUAGGGUCGUAAAGCCCUGUUGAUAGGGACGAAGGGCGAAGGGUUAAUAGCCCCUAGCUUGACGGUACCUUUCGAGGAAGCCCCGGCUAACUACGUGCCAGCAGCCGCGGUAAUACGUAGGGGGCGAGCGUUGUCCGGAAUUAUUGGGCGUAAAGAGCGUGUAGGCGGUUCGGUAAGUCUGCUGUGAAAUCCUGGGGCUCAACCCCCGGGCGUGCAGCGGAUACUGCCGGGCUAGAGGAUGGUAGAGGCGAGUGGAAUUCCGAGUGUAGCGGUGAAAUGCGCAGAUAUUCGGAGGAACACCAGUAGCGAAGGCGGCUCGCUGGGCCAUUCCUGACGCUGAGACGCGAAAGCGUGGGGAGCGAACAGGAUUAGAUACCCCGGUAGUCC
Molecule: ribosomal RNA, 765 nt
Filed under: uncultured Rubrobacter sp.
Lineage: Bacteria; Bacillati; Actinomycetota; Rubrobacteria; Rubrobacterales; Rubrobacteraceae
Description: bacterial SSU rRNA
Rfam family: Bacterial small subunit ribosomal RNA
Source: RNAcentral